Molecule: ribosomal RNA, 253 nt
Filed under: uncultured bacterium
Lineage: Bacteria
Description: partial 16S ribosomal RNA
Rfam family: Bacterial small subunit ribosomal RNA
Source: RNAcentral
UACGUAGGGUGCAAGCGUUGUCCGGAAUUAUUGGGCGUAAAGAGCUCGUAGGCGGUCUGUCGCGUCUGCUGUGAAAAUCCAGGGCUCAACCCUGGACCUGCAGUGGGUACGGGCAGACUAGAGUGCGGUAGGGGAGAUCGGAAUUCCUGGUGUAGCGGUGAAAUGCGCAGAUAUCAGGAGGAACACCGGUGGCGAAGGCGGACCUCUGGGCCGUAACUGACGCUGAGGAGCGAAAGCAUGGGGAGCGAACAGG